RNAcentral lists this long non-coding RNA (727 nucleotides) under Sus scrofa (pig). RNAcentral's name for it is "lncRNA (ENSSSCG00030009204.1)". Lineage: Eukaryota; Metazoa; Chordata; Mammalia; Artiodactyla; Suidae. The record is from RNAcentral.
UGACAUUUGUUUUCCUUAUCUGUCAGGACCGACUGCCUUAAGUGCGCGAUCCGCCGCUUAGAGCAGAGAAGUGGUUUAAUGGGAGGAGCAGGUUUUAUCUCCUAACAGCAACUUCUGCUUUAGUCAAAUGAGUUUCAUUAAGGGGGGGGGGGAAAGAACCUGAGCUGGGCUCCUGACAAUCAGGUCUGUCAGAUAAAAAUAGUAACCACACGAGCAGACCUUUGUCUAACUGCGCAUGCCCAGGACUGGGGCCCGCGUGGUUAGAGAACGCUCCGACAUCAGCUCAGAACGUGGUCCAAGUUGGUCCUUAAGACACCGAGUGCGCCUGCGCUUGCUGGGGGUGGGUCCUGGAGUGCUGGGUGGGGCCCUUGUGUGCUCUGCGCUUCUCCCGCGCUUUUCCAGAAAAAGUGUGCAUUUUGAUGGUUCGGAGCGGGCCUACGCGGAUUUGCUAUUGAGGUCCCCAUUUAAGGGUUUUACCGGCCCUGGCUCUCGUUCCUACGUCAACAAAAAUGUACUACUGUUGAACUUCAACCACUCUGGGUGAUGCCAAGGAUACAUUUUGCUACAACAAUAAUUAUGCUUCUGGACCCUCGCCUGGUAAAAUGGAAAGCAUGUAAAAUGUAUGGACCCUUUUGAAGACAGUGGCCUACCCAGAAAUCCUGGAUAACCUUUUCAUCUGAAGGUCCUUAACUUAGUCCCAUUUAUGAAGGCUCCUUUGCCAUGUGAG